UACAAUCACAUCAGGUUGACACACUAGUUCCCGUACGAUACACCGCAGUUAAGCAACAUCGCUCCUGGUCAGUAGCUAACUGGGCGACCGCUUGGGAAUACCAGGUGCUGUU
Non-coding RNA from Acanthosepion pharaonis, 112 nucleotides. The record is from the annotation of a GenBank genome assembly. Lineage: Eukaryota; Metazoa; Mollusca; Cephalopoda; Sepiida; Sepiidae.